UGGUGGAGUGAUUUGUCUGGUUAAUUCCGUUAACAACGAGACCUCAGCCUACUAAUUAGAUGACCUAAUGUUUCAUUGGGCGCAUCUUCUUAGAGGGACUAUCGGUUUCCAACCGAGGGAAGUAUGAGGCAAUAACA
RNAcentral lists this ribosomal RNA (137 nucleotides) under uncultured eukaryote. Its description in RNAcentral is "partial 18S ribosomal RNA". It matches the Rfam family "Eukaryotic small subunit ribosomal RNA", at positions 1299 to 1458 of the family's 1831-position model. The record is from RNAcentral.